This is a small nucleolar RNA of Humulus lupulus (European hop), 107 nucleotides long. The record is from RefSeq and is a predicted model, not a curated record. NCBI's taxonomy places the organism in Eukaryota, Viridiplantae, Streptophyta, Magnoliopsida, Rosales, Cannabaceae.
AUCUGAUGAUGAGGGAAACUGGCACACAACUGCUUGAAUCUCUCCCAAUACUCAUAUAAUGACUCCCCAUUCUGUUGGAAAAUGCCACAAAUUUCCUUCCUCAUUCU